This is a long non-coding RNA of Phacochoerus africanus (Common warthog), 591 nucleotides long. RefSeq lists it as uncharacterized. NCBI's taxonomy places the organism in Eukaryota, Metazoa, Chordata, Mammalia, Artiodactyla, Suidae. The record is from RefSeq and is a predicted model, not a curated record. The transcript has 3 exons.
ACUCAGCAGCUGUCCUCCUGGUGACACAGAGUUCUUUCCAGAGGGACAACCUUCCCGGGGGUGGGGGGCAGGGUCCAGGGGACAGCCUGUUGGCUGGCUGACCCCGCAAGACCAUACCCGCUGUCAGCACUCUGGCUGUGACCCGGAACGAGCCCAGCCCUAAGCAGUGAGGUUCAGAACCACAGAUCUGGGACAAAGAGCAACCAGUAGUCAAUGGCCACCAAGACCAUGUGCUUGAGCAGCUGGGAGAAGACGAGCAGCGAGAGGAGCAGGAUGCCGGCGGAGGACAGGUACUUGGCGCAGGCCCGCCAGGGGAUCUUGGCGCGCUGGUGCAGCACCGACGACAGGUUGUCCUCCUCCUCACUCUCGGCUGCCUCCUCUGCAGGCGAGCUGUUGAUCUGGGAGGAUGGAAGCCUGAGACUACCAGGGGCCCUCACUGCAACCUUGAGAACGAAGCCACUGUGAGGGGGGCAGAGCCCAUGGAUGGGGAGAAACAGAUUCCUGAUGGCACUGCUCGUCUGCCUGGAUCCAUUUCCAUCUGAAGCUAUGGCAUCGCUAGACUCGCCAAUUUCAUGAGCCAAUAAAUCCUUA